CACAGUGCAAGCUUAGCAAGUGUCACUUCUGCUCUUACAAAGAUGGAGGCACCUACUUAGGGCAAAUGGCUGAACAGAGGCCCUCUCGUUCCAUCUCAGCCUAAACUCCUUCCUGCAGCCACAGCAGACAUUGCCGCUCAGUCGCCACCUCUCAUCUUUGAGAAUAAGGGAGGAAAUCAGGGUUGCAGGUGGAGGAAGAGAAGAGGGGGAGCAGUGAAUAUUGACCAAAGUCUUGCUGAGGGCAGGGACCAGUCCUUUACCAUGCAACCUGAUUACCUAGUACAAUACUAGGACUUGUAACCAAUACUCAAUAAAGGUAUCCA
Molecule: long non-coding RNA, 323 nt
Organism: Talpa occidentalis (Iberian mole)
Lineage: Eukaryota; Metazoa; Chordata; Mammalia; Eulipotyphla; Talpidae
Exons: 3
Source: RefSeq, a predicted model, not a curated record